RNAcentral lists this ribosomal RNA (301 nucleotides) under uncultured bacterium. RNAcentral's name for it is "partial 16S ribosomal RNA". It matches the Rfam family "Bacterial small subunit ribosomal RNA", at positions 509 to 809 of the family's 1533-position model. The record is from RNAcentral.
CAGUCGCCGCGGUAAUACGUAGGGUGCGAGCGUUAAUCGGAAUUACUGGGCGUAAGGCGUGCGUAGGCGGUUCGUUAAGUCUGUUGUGAAAGCCCCGGGCUCAACCUGGGAAUGGCAAUGGAUACUGGCGAGCUAGAGUGUGUCAGAGGAUGGUGGAAUUCCCGGUGUAGCGGUGAAAUGCGUAGAGAUCGGGAGGAACAUCAGUGGCGAAGGCGGCCAUCUGGGACAACACUGACGCUGAGGCACGAAAGCGUGGGGAGCAAACAGGAUUAGAUACCCCCGUAGUCCCUGUCUCUUAUAA